AGUCUUAUUGAUAUGAAUGGAACAUAUUUUCUUGGAAGAUGUUUUGGAUUUCAAGUACAAGGGGGUUUAGAUCUCAAAUAAUUUUGUUUCAUUUUUUUCUGUGACCCUUCACCACACUGUAUUUGAACCAAACAUUCAAACAAAACAAGUUGGUUUUUCCUUAUAUAUAUCCUAUUUGACUCACACCACCACCACAAAACAUGAAGGGAGACAGGAGUAUAUAUAUAGAUGAUCCAUAUAUAUAUGUUUUAUCUUUAUUCUACAGCUACAGGCUGUCAAAUCCACAGUGUUCAGCUUUGCAGCUUUGCCUGGAAGCAAGAUGCCCUGACACAACCUUGAAGGUUCUCUAUCUGAAAUUGUUGAAACAGAAAGAGGAGCCUCACUGUACUCAGCACAUGGACAGAUCACGUCUUCCUGCUGAGGUGACUGGGAAUCCAAAUUCAUACACUACCAGGAAUAAAGCAUCUGUCAGGUCCAUCUGGCUUCCAAACACCAAUUCCAUUUGCCUAUACAGAUUCAGAGCCAUUGUAGUCUUUAUGAUGUCUUUAUGCAGUCUUUAUGUCUUUAUGAUGGCAAUUUUAAUUGUAUUUUAAUCGUAUUUUAAUUGUAUUUUAAUCAUUUUAUAUUUUAUUGUAUUGAAUUUUAAUUGUUGUAAGCCACCCAGAGACCUUUGGGUAGAGUGGGCGGCAUAUAAAUUAAAUAAAUAAUGAAUAAUGAAUAAUGAAUAAUGAAUA
Molecule: long non-coding RNA, 734 nt
Filed under: Pogona vitticeps (central bearded dragon)
Lineage: Eukaryota; Metazoa; Chordata; Lepidosauria; Squamata; Agamidae
Description: lncRNA (ENSPVIG00000015209.1)
Source: RNAcentral